UUUCCGUAGGUGAACCUGCGGAAGGAUCAUUACCAAUUCAACGGUGUGGUCGCGGCCUCCGGGGGCUCCCCCCGGGCGGUAGAGGUAACUCUCUUACGCGCCACAUGUCUGAAUCCUUUUUUUACGAGCACCUUUCGUUCUCCUUCGGUGGGGCAACCUGCCGUUGGAACUUAUCAAAACCUUUUUUUGCAUCUAGCAUUACCUGUUCAGAUACAAACAAUCGUUACAACUUUCAACAAUGGAUCUCUUGGCUCUGGCAUCGAUGAAGAACGCAGCGAAAUGCGAUAAGUAGUGUGAAUUGCAGAAUUCAGUGAAUCAUCGAAUCUUUGAACGCACAUUGCGCCCCUUGGUAUUCCAUGGGGCAUGCCUGUUCGAGCGUCAUCUACACCCUCAAGCUCUGCUUGGUGUUGGGCGUCUGUCCCGCCUCUGCGCGUGGACUCGCCCCCAAAUUCAUUGGCAGCGGUCUUUGCCUCCUCUCGCGCAGCACAUUGCGCUUCAGAGGGGUGUGGGCCGCGUCCACGAAGCAACAUUAUCGUCUUUGACCUCGGAUCAGGUAGGGAUACCCGCUGAACU
RNAcentral lists this ribosomal RNA (573 nucleotides) under Paraconiothyrium cyclothyrioides. RNAcentral's name for it is "eukaryotic LSU rRNA". The stretch from base 228 to 381 matches the Rfam family "5.8S ribosomal RNA". Lineage: Eukaryota; Fungi; Ascomycota; Dothideomycetes; Pleosporales; Didymosphaeriaceae. The record is from RNAcentral.